This 344-nucleotide unclassified non-coding RNA is filed under the name soil metagenome. Its description in RNAcentral is "partial contains 5.8S ribosomal RNA, internal transcribed spacer 2, and large subunit ribosomal RNA". The stretch from base 1 to 120 matches the Rfam family "5.8S ribosomal RNA", at positions 35 to 154 of the family's 154-position model. The record is from RNAcentral.
GAUGAAGAACGUAGUGAAAUGCGAUAAGUAGUGUGAAUUGCAGAAUUCAGUGAGUCAUCGAAUCUUUGAACGCACAUUGCGCCCACUGGUAUUCCGGUGGGCAUGCCUGUUCGAGCGUCAUUAUCCUCUCUCAAACCCCGGGUUUGGUGUUGGACCCAAGUUGUGCGAACAACUGGUCUAAAAGACAAUGACGGCGUCCGUGGGACCCUCGGUGCAACGAGCUUUUCGGAGCACGCAUCGAGUCGCAAGGACCUUCCGGGCCGGUCUCCUCUAUCUAUUUACUAGGUUGACCUCGGAUCAGGUAGGAAUACCCGCUGAACUUAAGCAUAUCAAUAAGCGGAGGA